RNAcentral lists this unclassified non-coding RNA (300 nucleotides) under uncultured fungus. RNAcentral describes it as "sequence contains 5.8S rRNA gene, ITS2". The stretch from base 1 to 71 matches the Rfam family "5.8S ribosomal RNA", at positions 84 to 154 of the family's 154-position model. The record is from RNAcentral. Lineage: Eukaryota; Fungi.
GUGAAUCAUCGAAUCUUUGAACGCAUAUUGCACCUUUGAGUAUUCUCUAAGGUAUACCUGUUUGAGCGUCGUUUAGAACAAAUAAAGCUUUGCUUUGUGUUGAGAUUUUGAAAUGGGUUUUUGUCAAAGAGUCCUCUUCAAUUUUCCAAACAUAGUGGCAUUUAUUCUUGGCCGAAACGCAGUGAAAAUGUGUGGAAAACCAAGUUAAUGGAUAGCCAGUCUCCUCUUUUCUCUCUGGAGAAAGUAUGUUCGACCUCAAAUCAAGUAAGACUACCCGCUGAACUUAAGCAUAUCAAUAAG